Molecule: small nucleolar RNA, 131 nt
Filed under: Caenorhabditis japonica
Lineage: Eukaryota; Metazoa; Nematoda; Chromadorea; Rhabditida; Rhabditidae
Description: snoRNA CJA48447
Rfam family: Caenorhabditis snoRNA ceN80
Source: Rfam by way of RNAcentral
UAGCAUCGAAAAGGGACGGGUUGUCCAGCUGGAUUGUUCCGUAUAAUUUUGGUGCAAUAUAGUAGAGAGGCGCAGUGUUACUCUUCAUCACGUCUUCUGUGAACGGGGAGUGUCAAGCGCUUCCCACAAUU